GACGAACGCUGGCGGCGUGCUUAAUACAUGCAAGUCAACUUGACUUUAGAUAGCAAUAUCGAAAAGUAGGGUGGCGCACGGGUGCGUAACGCGUAGGUAAUCUGCCCUGAGGUCUGACAUAACCCGUCGAAAGGCGGCUAACAUCAGAUGAUAUAUAAUCACGACAUCGUGGAAAUAUCAAAUCUUCGGAGCCUUGGGAUGAGCCUGCGUCUGAUUAGGUAGUUGGCGGAGUAAUAGCCCACCAAGCCUACGAUCAGUAGCUGGUCUGAGAGGAUGAUCAGCCACACUGGAACUGAGACACGGUCCAGACUCCUACGGGAGGCAGCAGUAAGGAAUAUUGCUCAAUGGGGGAAACCCUGAAGCAGCAACGCCGCGUGAAGGAUGAAAUACUUUUGUAUGUAAACUUCUGUAAGAUGGGAAAAAUAUUCUCCUCGGGAGAAUUGAUUGUACCAUCAGAGUAAAGCCCCGGCUAACUACGUGCCAGCAG
RNAcentral lists this ribosomal RNA (487 nucleotides) under uncultured bacterium. Its description in RNAcentral is "bacterial SSU rRNA". It matches the Rfam family "Bacterial small subunit ribosomal RNA", at positions 28 to 514 of the family's 1533-position model. The record is from RNAcentral.